AGGGUUUGAUCCUGGCUCAGAACGAACGUUGGCGGCGUGGAUUAGGCAUGCAAGUCGAACGAAUCCCCUUGUAGCAAUAUGAGGGGGGAAGUGGCGAAAGGGGCAGUAAGGCGUAGGUAACCUACCCUGGGGACGGGGAUAGCCCUUCUAACGAGGGGGUAAUACCCGGCGACGUAUCGAGGGGGCCUCUCCUUGAUACCAAACGAAUUUCGCCCUGGGCGGGGCUUAUGUGGUAUUAGCUAGUUGGUAGGGUAACGGCCUACCAAGGCCAAGAUGCCUAGCGGGUGUGCGAGCACGACCCGCGCCACUGGCACUGGGACACUGGCCAGACUCCUACGGGAGGCUGCAGUCGAGGAUCUUCGGCAAUGGGCGCAAGCCUGACCGAGCGACGCCGCGUGUGCGAUGAAGGCCUUCGGGUUGUAAAGCACUGUCGAGGGGGAUCAACGGGCAACCUUGAGAGAUCCCUGGAGGAAGCACGGGCUAAGUUCGUGCCAGCAGCCGCGGUAAGACGAACCGUGCGAACGUUGUUCGGAAUCACUGGGCUUAAAGGGCGCGUAGGCGGGUCCCCAAGUCUGUGGUGAAAUCCUCCCGCCCAACGGGAGAAGGGCCGCGGAUACUGGGGGUCUCGAGGGGGGUAGGGGCAUGCGGAACUUCCGGUGGAGCGGUGAAAUGCGUAGAUAUCGGAAGGAACGCCGGUGGCGAAAGCGGCGUGCUGGACCCUUUCUGACGCUGAGGCGCGAAAGCCAGGGGAGCAGACGGGAUUAGAUACCCCGGUAGUCCUGGCCCUAAACGAUGGGUACUAGAUUGCGGACUGAACAUGGGUUCGCAGUCGGAGCAAAAGUGUUAAGUACCCCGCCUGGGGAGUAUGGUCGCAAGGCUGAAACUCAAAGGAAUUGACGGGGGCCCACACAAGCGGUGGAGCAUGUGGCUUAAUUCGAGGCUACGCGAAGAACCUUAUCCUGGGCUUGACAUGUCCGAAAGGGGUGGGGAGUACCCAGCGGAAACGUAUGGGGAACGGUAUCCAGUCCGGAGCCUACCACAGGUGCUGCAUGGCUGUCGUCAGCUCGUGUCGUGAGAUGUCGGGUUAAGUCCCAUAACGAGCGAAACCCUUGUUUCCAGUUGCCAGCGGGUCAAGCCGGGGACUCUGGAAAGACUGCCGGUGUUAAACCGGAGGAAGGUGGGGAUGACGUCAAGUCCUCAUGGCCUUUAUGCCCAGGGCUGCACACGUGCUACAAUGGCGCACACAAAGGGAAGCCAACGCGCGAGCGGGAGCAAAUCCCAAAAAAUGCGCCCCAGUUCAGAUUGAAGGCUGCAACUCGCCUUCAUGAAGUUGGAAUCGCUAGUAAUCGCGGGUCAGCAACACCGCGGUGAAUGUGUUCCUGAGCCUUGUACACACCGCCCGUCAAGCCACGAAAGGGAGGGGCGCCCGAAGUCGCGAAUAGCGCCGAAGGCGAACUUCCUGAUUGGGACUAAGUCGGAACAAGGUA
RNAcentral lists this ribosomal RNA (1487 nucleotides) under metagenome. RNAcentral's name for it is "bacterial SSU rRNA". It matches the Rfam family "Bacterial small subunit ribosomal RNA". The record is from RNAcentral.